GAACAUACCAUUUUGUUGCCUCGGCGGUGCCUGUUCCGACAGCCCGCCAGAGGACCCCAAACCCAAACUUCCUUGAGUGAGUCUUCUGAGUAACCGAUUAAAUCAAUCAAAACUUUCAACAACGGAUCUCUUGGUUCUGGCAUCGAUGAAGAACGCAGCGAAAUGCGAUAAGUAAUGUGAAUUGCAGAAUUCAGUGAAUCAUCGAAUCUUUGAACGCACAUUGCGCCCGCCAGUAUUCUGGCGGGCAUGCCUGUUCGAGCGUCAUUACAUCCCUCAAGCCCCCGGGCUUGGUGUUGGGGAUCGGCGAGCCUCAGCGCCCGCCGUCCCCUAAAUUUAGUGGCGGUCACGCUGUAACUUCCUCUGCGUAGUAGCACACUUAGCACUGGGAAACAGCGCGGCCACGCCGUAAAACCCCCCAACUUUUGAACGUUUGACCUCGAAUCAGGUAGGACUACCCGCUGAACUUAAGCAUAUCAAA
This 478-nucleotide ribosomal RNA is filed under the name Neonectria sp. ca_besc_24c. RNAcentral's name for it is "eukaryotic LSU rRNA". The stretch from base 111 to 264 matches the Rfam family "5.8S ribosomal RNA". The record is from RNAcentral. Lineage: Eukaryota; Fungi; Ascomycota; Sordariomycetes; Hypocreales; Nectriaceae.